Non-coding RNA from Ixodes scapularis (black-legged tick), 73 nucleotides. Lineage: Eukaryota; Metazoa; Arthropoda; Arachnida; Ixodida; Ixodidae. The record is from Rfam.
GCCUCGGUAGCGCAGCAGGCGGCACGUCAGUCUCAUAAUCUGAAGGUCGUGAGUUCGAUCCUCACCCGGGGCA